RNAcentral lists this non-coding RNA (33 nucleotides) under Mus musculus (house mouse). The record is from RNAcentral. Lineage: Eukaryota; Metazoa; Chordata; Mammalia; Rodentia; Muridae.
UGGAUGUUACACAUGUUUCUUCCUUUGGAAAAC